GGAGAGGUCUGCCGCGUUCAGGACGCUGUGCCGAAGCACGGUUGCAGACAGUGCUCCAUGUGGGUGCAUAGAAAGAUCAACUCUUUAAUCUGGCCCAGAUCUGCAUGAGCACUUAUAUGGUAGGAUUGAGAAGAAGGAACAAGAAGAUGAAUGAGGCAGGACUGCAUCUUUAAUGCACUAAUUUCUGUGUGUUACCUUAUCGCUAACUGCAGUGAAAUGAAAUGCAUCUUAAGGAUGACUACUACUGGGCUAAC
This 254-nucleotide long non-coding RNA is filed under the name Numida meleagris (helmeted guineafowl). Its description in RNAcentral is "lncRNA (ENSNMEG00000018712.1)". Lineage: Eukaryota; Metazoa; Chordata; Aves; Galliformes; Numididae. The record is from RNAcentral.